This 714-nucleotide ribosomal RNA is filed under the name uncultured bacterium. RNAcentral describes it as "bacterial SSU rRNA". It matches the Rfam family "Bacterial small subunit ribosomal RNA", at positions 59 to 741 of the family's 1533-position model. The record is from RNAcentral.
CAGUCGAGCGAGCGGAACCACAGAUUUACUUCGGUAAUGACGUUGGGAAAGCGAGCGGCGGAUGGGUGAGUAACACGUGGGGAACCUGCCCCUAAGUCUGGGAUACCAUUUGGAAACAGGUGCUAAUACCGGAUAAUAAAGCGGAUCGCAUGAUCAGCUUUUGAAAGGCGGCGUAAGCUGUCGCUAAGGGAUGGCCCCGCGGUGCAUUAGCUAGUUGGUAAGGUAACGGCUUACCAAGGCGACGAUGCAUAGCCGAGUUGAGAGACUGAUCGGCCACAUUGGGACUGAGACACGGCCCGAACUCCUAUGGGAGGCAGCAGUAGGGAAUCUUCCACAAUGGACGCAAGUUUGAUGGAGCAACGCCGCGUGAGUGAAGAAGGUUUUCGGAUCGUAAAGCUCUGUUGUUGGUGAAGAAGGAUAGAGGUAGUAACUGGCCUUUAUUUGACGGUAAUCAACCAGAAAGUCACGGCUAACUACGUGCCAGCAGCCGCGGUAAUACGUAGGUGGCAAGCGUUGUCCGGAUUUAUUGGGCGUAAAGCGAGCGCAGGCGGAAAAAUAAGUCUAAUGUGAAAGCCCUCGGCUUAACCGAGGAACUGCAUCGGAAACUGUUUUUCUUGAGUGCAGAAGAGGAGAGUGGAACUCCAUGUGUAGCGGUGGAAUGCGUAGAUAUAUGGAAGAACACCAGUGGCGAAGGCGGCUCUCUGGUCUGCAACU